GCUCGUCCUAACGUAGUGAGUUAUCUCAGUUUAUUAUUCACAGUCAGUUACAGAUGGAACUCCUUGUUCUACUCUUUUCCCCCUUCUCACUACCGCACUUGACUAGGCUUAA
Y RNA from Callithrix jacchus (white-tufted-ear marmoset), 112 nucleotides. It matches the Rfam family "Y RNA". Rfam says of the family: Y RNAs are components of the Ro ribonucleoprotein particle (Ro RNP), in association with Ro60 and La proteins. The Y RNAs and Ro60 and La proteins are well conserved, but the function of the Ro RNP is not known. In humans the RNA component can be one of four small RNAs -- hY1, hY3, hY4 and hY5. Lineage: Eukaryota; Metazoa; Chordata; Mammalia; Primates; Cebidae. The record is from Ensembl.